This 300-nucleotide ribosomal RNA is filed under the name uncultured Gammaproteobacteria bacterium. RNAcentral's name for it is "bacterial SSU rRNA". It matches the Rfam family "Bacterial small subunit ribosomal RNA", at positions 114 to 415 of the family's 1533-position model. Lineage: Bacteria; Pseudomonadati; Pseudomonadota; Gammaproteobacteria. The record is from RNAcentral.
CGCGUGGGAAUCUACCUAGUAGUUGGGGACAACCUGGUGAAAACCAGGCUAAUACCGAAUACGCCCUACGGGGGAAAGAUAGCCUCUUCUUGAAAGCUUUCGCUAUUAGAUGAGCCCGCGUUAGAUUAGCUAGUUGGUGAGGUAAUGGCUCACCAAGGCAACGAUCCCUAGCUGGUUUGAGAGGAUGAUCAGCCACACUGGAACUGAGACACGGUCCAGACUCCUACGGGAGGCAGCAGUGGGGAAUAUUGCACAAUGGGCGAAAGCCUGAUGCAGCCAUGCCGCGUGUGUGAAGAAGGG